RNAcentral lists this ribosomal RNA (301 nucleotides) under uncultured bacterium. RNAcentral's name for it is "partial 16S ribosomal RNA". It matches the Rfam family "Bacterial small subunit ribosomal RNA", at positions 509 to 807 of the family's 1533-position model. The record is from RNAcentral.
CAGAAGCCGCGGUAAUACGAACCGUGCGAACGUUGUUCGGAAUUACUGGGCGUAAAGCGUGCGCAGGCGGUUUGUUAAGACAGAUGUGAAAUCCCCGGGCUCAACCUGGGAACUGCAUUUGUGACUGGCAAGCUAGAGUAUGGCAGAGGGGGGUGGAAUUCCGCGUGUAGCAGUGAAAUGCGUAGAUAUGCGGAGGAACACCGAUGGCGAAGGCAGCCCCCUGGGCCAAUACUGACGCUCAUGCACGAAAGCGUGGGGAGCAAACAGGAUUAGAUACCCCGGUAGUCCCUGUCUCUUAUAC